AUGCGUGAGUAAACCAUGACCAAACACAGUUGGGAAAAUGUUGUGGCAUCAUUUUAACACAAUGAACAGGUUUCAAACACUUUGGGAAUUUCUGAAUUACUGGAAAUUAUUCAAUCCUGAGUACAUGACAAGUAUAUAAAAGACACACACAAGUGCUUGUGAACUUAUAAUACAGUACGCUCAAUCCUGCAUUACUUGUGAGCUCUCAUCAAGAAAAAUAAUGAAGACAUUGCUGGUGGUCCUUGUUCUUGUUCUGGUGUUGAACUACGGAUCUGCACUGAAGUGCAACCACUGCGUUCCUCAGGGGGA
Carassius carassius (crucian carp) is the source of this 309-nucleotide long non-coding RNA. RefSeq lists it as uncharacterized. NCBI's taxonomy places the organism in Eukaryota, Metazoa, Chordata, Actinopteri, Cypriniformes, Cyprinidae. The record is from RefSeq and is a predicted model, not a curated record. The transcript is spliced from 3 exons.